AGAGCGAACGCUGGCGGCAGGCUUAACACAUGCAAGUCGAGCGCCCCGCAAGGGGAGCGGCAGACGGGAGAGUAACACGUGGGAACGUACCUUUCGGUUCGGAACAACCCGGGGAAACUUGGGCUAAUACCGGAUACGUCCGUAAGGAGAAAGAUUUAUCGCCGAAAGAUCGGCCCGCGUCUGAUUAGCUAGUUGGUGAGGUAACGGCUCACCAAGGCGACGAUCAGUAGCUGGUCUGAGAGGAUGAUCAGCCUCACUGGGACUGAGACACGGCCCAGACUCCUACGGGAGGCAGCAGUGGGGAAUAUUGGACAAUGGGCGCAAGCCUGAUCCAGCCAUGCCGCGUGGGUGAUGAAGGCCCUAGGGUUGUAAAGCCCUUUCGGCGGGAAGAUAAUGACGGUACCCGCAGAAGAAGCCCCGGCUAACUUCGUGCCAGCAGCCGC
This 443-nucleotide ribosomal RNA is filed under the name uncultured bacterium. Its description in RNAcentral is "SSU rRNA". It matches the Rfam family "Bacterial small subunit ribosomal RNA", at positions 26 to 518 of the family's 1533-position model. The record is from RNAcentral.